UCGUCUUUUGCCUAGCUCGAUCAGCCGUCUUCUCGGGCUGAUCUUGAGCCGGAUGCUCGUGCUUGCACUUGCAUAAGACAAGAAGAAUCUCCAGGCAAUGCUUUUUGAGUACGGAACCUUUAGUGUCUUUUCACAAAUGAAGUCUUUCGUAAUUUAUCUGUUGUCACAUCC
RNAcentral lists this small nucleolar RNA (171 nucleotides) under [Torrubiella] hemipterigena. Lineage: Eukaryota; Fungi; Ascomycota; Sordariomycetes; Hypocreales; Clavicipitaceae. The record is from RNAcentral.